RNAcentral lists this ribosomal RNA (460 nucleotides) under uncultured bacterium. RNAcentral's name for it is "partial 16S ribosomal RNA". It matches the Rfam family "Bacterial small subunit ribosomal RNA", at positions 338 to 795 of the family's 1533-position model. The record is from RNAcentral.
CCUACGGGAGGCAGCAGUGAGGAAUAUUGGUCAAUGGGCUUACGCCUGAACCAGCCAAGUCGCGUGAGGGAAGACUGCCCUAUGGGUUGUAAACCUCUUUUGUCAGGGAGCAAUUGGCGCUACGUGUAGCGUUAUCGAGAGUACCUGAAGAAAAAGCAUCGGCUAACUCCGUGGCAGCAGCCGCGGUAAUACGGAGGAUGCGAGCGUUAUCCGGAUUUAUUGGGUUUAAAGGGUGCGUAGGCGGAAUGCCAAGUCAGCGGUAAAAUCGCGGGGCUCAACCUCGCUCCGCCGUUGAAACUGGCGUUCUUGAGUGGGCGAGAAGUAUGCGGAAUGCGUGGUGUAGCGGUGAAAUGCAUAGAUAUCACGCAGAACUCCGAUUGCGAAGGCAGCAUACCGGCGCCCAACUGACGCUGAAGCACGAAAGCGUGGGUAUCGAACAGGAUUAGAUACCCGGGUAGUC